CACAACAGGAGACACAGAAAUCCUCCUCAUCAAAACCAUGACUUCGAUCUGCGUCCUCAUCUGGACUCUCCUCUGCUGCUGCUUCACAGAGGUCAGAGGUCAGGUCACAGUGACUCAGCAGCCUGAAGCAGUGAGAGCUGGACUGGGAGGAUCUGUCACCAUCAACUGUAGAAUGAGUCAAAAUGUUCAUGUUCACCUCAGCUCCUUCCCUUGUUUAGCCUGGUAUCAACAGAAAGAUGGACAAACUCCUAAGCUUCUCAUUUAUUUUUCUAGCACUAAAGCAUCAGGGACUCCAAGUCGUUUUUCAGGCAGUGGAUCAAACUCUGACUUCACUCUGACCAUCAGUGGAGUUCAGGCUGAAGAUGCUGCAGUUUACUACUGUCAGAGUUACCACAACGUCAACAAUCAGUGGGUGUUCCCACAGUGAAAAUGUCUCGUACAAAAACCUCCCAGUCAAACUGAACAGGAACUGAAAUGACUGAAAAAGCUGCAAUAGCAACUAACUGCAAAUACAAGCAGACUUUUUAUGUAGCAGAUUAUGCUUUUUAAAUUUACUUAAAACAUCAACUUCAAUUUUAACUGAGUCCUCAUCUAGACUCUUAGUCUUUUCCAUAACAGUGAUAAUGUAGGUUAUGU
Xiphophorus hellerii (green swordtail) is the source of this 636-nucleotide non-coding RNA. The record is from the annotation of a RefSeq genome assembly. NCBI's taxonomy places the organism in Eukaryota, Metazoa, Chordata, Actinopteri, Cyprinodontiformes, Poeciliidae.